AAAAUAUAAAGAUAGCAUCACAAAUUAAUCACUGGAAUAAAGGCAGAGACUAGACAGUUCAAACUAGUCAAAAUAUAGAAAGUAAAACUAGGCAACAAUGAAUGAAGAAAUAUAUGUCUCAUGGCCAGUCCCAAAGUUUCAUAGCAGCGAUGCCACUACCCAAGGCAAUGGAAUAUGAGACCACUUUCAAAUGGAGGAAGACCUCAAAGAUGAAAACCCUUGAAGGUGAACCUCUACAAAUAAAAACUUAAUCUCUGACGUUUGCUAUGGAAUAUGCAAACAUGUAAGGUUUGCUCCAAAAAAAGCUGAAGAACCUCGGAGCCCUUCCGUCACUAAUGGAAAAUAUUACAAAAGUAGCAUAAAAACUUCUACAACUACAUGGCACAAAUAACAAAUACCAGUGCAAUGAAAGAACACAUGACAAAAUGUUUGUCUCAUGGCCAGUCCCAAUGUUUCAUUGCGGCGACGCCGCUACCAAGGGCAAUGGAAUAUGAGACCGCCUUCAAAUGGAGAAAUUCCAGAAGGAAAAUCUCAACAUCAAAAGGCUUACUUUAUGACGUUAGCUUGGAAAUAUGCAAACAUGUGUGGUUUGCUCCACAAGAAAGCUGAAGGACAUGGACGCCCUUCCGUCAAACAUUAAAUUGUUGUCACUGUCAAUGAAAAUAAUGAGACAGUCUCCAAUGCAUUCAUCUGCUUUGGAAAACAUUCAACAGCCCCAAAAAAAACAGAACAAGAUUGCAACCAUGGCUGCAUCAUAAACAAUGGAGCAAUAACAGUACCAAAAUGGUUUGCAAGCAAUUGAAUAGCAGCAACGCCACUACCCAAGGCAAUGGAAUAUGAGACCACUUUCAAAUGGAGGAAGACCUCACAGAUGAAAACCCUUGAAGGUGAACCUCUACAAAUAAAAACUUAAUCUCUGACGACUGCUAUGGAAUAUGCAAACAUGUAAGGUUUGCUCCAAAAAAAGCUAAGGAACAUCGGAGAGGGAAAAUAUUACAAAAGUAGCAUAAAAACUUCUACAACUACAUGGCACAAAUAACAAAUACCAGUGCAAUGAAAGAACACAUGACAAAAUGUUUGUCUCAUGGCCAGUCCCAAUGUUUCAUUGCGGCGACGCAGCUACCAAGGGCAAUGGAAUAUGAGACCACCUUCAAAUGGAGAAAUUCCAGAAGGAAAAUCUCAACAUCAAAAGGCUUAGUUUAUGACGUUAGCUUGAGAAUAUGCAAACAUGUGUGGUUUGCUCCACAAGAAAGCUGAAGGACAUGGACGCCCUUCCGUCAAACUUUAAAUUGUUGUCACUGUCUAUGAAAAUAAUGAGACAGUCUCCAAUGCAUUCAUCUGCUUUUGAAAACAUUUAAGAGCCCCAAAAUCAGGAAAAGAUUGCAACCAUGGCUGCAUCAUUAACAAUGGAGCACUAACAGUACCAAAGUGGUUUGCAAGCAAUUGAAUAGGAGCAUACAACGCAUUGUGCUAAACACUAAGAUAAGAAUGUAGUAUUGUACCCGAUUAAACAAGUUAUAAGUGUAAAGUAUGCGCCUCAUGGCCAGUCCCAAAUUUUCACGGCAGCAACGCCGCUACACAAGGCAAUGGAAUAUGAGGCUGCCCUCUGACGGAUUAUCUCCUCGAAAGAGUAGCCUUUCAAUGGAAAUCCUCAAACGUCCGAAGGCUUAAUCUAUGACGUUUGCUCUGGAAUAUGCAGGCACUAUUGACUUCUGCUCCAGCAAAAAAGUUAAGAGAGCCUCACGGCGCUCCCGUCAAAAAGAAAGUAAUCUCACAUCUAUAGCAGAUAUAGUAUGACGAGGACUACAGAAAGUAAGUUAACGCUAGUCUAAAUUCAUCGACGACCUUGAUCUAAGCAAUUACGGACGAAGUAAGGUCGAGAUGCUACCU
This 1890-nucleotide long non-coding RNA is filed under the name Setaria viridis. RNAcentral's name for it is "long non-coding RNA (SVIR_LNC011457)". The record is from RNAcentral. Lineage: Eukaryota; Viridiplantae; Streptophyta; Magnoliopsida; Poales; Poaceae.